AUUGAACGCUGGCGGCAGGCCUAACACAUGCAAGUCGAGCGAGCGGCGGACGGGUGAGUAAUGUCUGGGAAACUGCCCGAUGGAUGGGGAUAACUACUGGAAACGGUAGCUAAUUCCGCAUACCAUCAGCUGUGCCCAGCGGGGAUUAGCUAGUAGGUGGGGUAACGGCUCACCUAGGCGACGAUCCCUAGCUGGUCUGAGAGGAUGACCAGGAACACGGGAACUGAGACACGGUCCAGAGUCCUACGGGAGGCAGCAGGGGGGAAUAUGGGGCAAUGGGCGCAAGCCUGAUGCAGCCAUGCCGCGUGGGUGAAGAGGGCCUUCGGGUUGUAAAGCACUAUCAGCGGGGAGGCGGUACCCGCAGAAGAAGCACCGGCUAACUCCGUGCCAGCCGCUGCGGUAAUUC
This 406-nucleotide ribosomal RNA is filed under the name uncultured bacterium. RNAcentral's name for it is "partial 16S ribosomal RNA". It matches the Rfam family "Bacterial small subunit ribosomal RNA", at positions 29 to 526 of the family's 1533-position model. The record is from RNAcentral.